GUUCCUUCUCAUAAAAACGAUGAUGGUUUCCUCCUCAUAAAAACGGCAAAGAAAGUGGAAUUUCAAACACUAGAAGCCGAGAGAAGGUGGAAGACGGAGAUGGUCUUGACUUAAUUUCUUUUCUUUACUACUCAAAUUUCAAUCUUCGGAAUCUGGUGAUGGAGAUGGUCUUGAUUUUGUUUGGAUUCAAUUAGCUCGUCAAGUGCCUGACUCUUAUCUUAUUCAGUCAUUCAAACUCUUAUCUUUUGUUUCUGGGCAAUGAAACUGGGUUUGAAGCUUCUCCAAGAAAUAGCUAUGGUUGGUUCAUUCAGGUGACCAUACAUCACUACUCUGCCUCAAAUGUUCCUUGUGCCUGUUUUCUUGAAUGAACAUACCCGUCAAAAAAUGCGUUCAUACUCUCAGAUCGUUGUGUAGUAGACAUCCCAGCCCAAAAUGUGGUCUUCACAAAACAAGCCAUGUUGAUUCUUUUAUGGCUUCUCAAAUAUCGAGCUUUCGAUGGACUGUUCAAAUGGUUAUGUUGAAGGGAAACAACACUAAUCAUCCAUUUAUCAUCUGCAUACAGUCUCGCUGAAAUUUUGGCUUUGCAACCAGUUCUUUGUGUUGGAGGGAGAUUUAACGGAGUGUCUGAAGCUGUAACGUUGUUCCCCUCUUUGAAACAUGUAUAACUUACAUGUACUUGUACACCGUUUUCCUUUUUGCAUGUUUUUUUCUUAACAGAAAAUCCUGUCUUGUAUGCAUAAUUAUUAUAAAAUUCAAAUAAUUCAUUAGCGCUAUGAAACCUCAUACCAAGCUGUAACGUUC
Long non-coding RNA from Papaver somniferum (opium poppy), 801 nucleotides. RefSeq lists it as uncharacterized. The record is from RefSeq and is a predicted model, not a curated record. The transcript is spliced from 4 exons. Lineage: Eukaryota; Viridiplantae; Streptophyta; Magnoliopsida; Ranunculales; Papaveraceae.